RNAcentral lists this ribosomal RNA (483 nucleotides) under uncultured bacterium. RNAcentral's name for it is "partial 16S ribosomal RNA". It matches the Rfam family "Bacterial small subunit ribosomal RNA", at positions 28 to 507 of the family's 1533-position model. The record is from RNAcentral.
GACGAACGCUGGCGGCGUGCUUAACACAUGCAAGUCGAACGCUGAAGCUCAGCUUUUGUUGGGUGGAUGAGUGGCGAACGGGUGAGUAACACGUGAGUAACCUGCCUCCUUCUUUGGGAUAACGCCCGGAAACGGGUGCUAAUACUGGAUAUUCACUGGUCUUCGCAUGGGGGUUGGUGGAAAGGGUUUUUCUGGUGGGGGAUGGGCUCGCGGCCUAUCUGCUUGUUGGUGGGGUGAUGGCCUACCAAGGCUUUGACGGGUAGCCGGCCUGAGAGGGUGACCGGUCACAUUGGGACGGAGAUACGGCCCAGACUCCUACGGGAGGCAGCAGUGGGGAAUAUUGCACAAUGGGCGCAAGCCUGAUGCAGCGACGCCGCGUGAGGGAUGGAGGCCUUCGGGUUGUGAACCUCUUUCGCUCAUGGUCAAGCCGCAACAAUGGUUGUGGUGAGGGUAGUGGGUAAAGAAGCGCCGGCUAACUACGUG